AGCCUGGGGGGAUGGUUGAGGUACUGUGAAAAUGCAUUAUUACUGCCCCAGGCAUCCAAUUACAUAUAUAAGUUGCAUGUUCUAAUUAAAUUUUCCUAAUGUAAUGUCGGCUUUGCCCGCUGCUAUUAAUUAUUGAAGCCACGUUCAGCUUAGGUGGAUUUUCCUCUCCCGCCUCACCUUCCAUUCACUCUUCACUCCUGGCUGCCCUUCGGCUGGCUGCAAACUCCCUGAGGAUGGGUCCUCUUUGAGCAAAGGCACCCACCGUGAGGCUCCCCUGUUGGACAGAGGAGGAGUCACCCAUAGGAGGAGAAGCAAGCAUCACCAGGCUGCUUCGUAACGAACACGUUAAGCACAAUGAUGGUAAUGGAAGGUACUCCAAAACAUCAGUGCACUUCCCUGCACUCUCUCCCAAGAGGCUUGUUUGCUCCCUUCUCACCAUCACCCACUCCCUGACCUAAAAAGGUGGUAACUACUCCCUCAGAAGGUUGAAGACUGUGGUCAGAUCCCAAGACGCAAGCAUGCAGGUGGAUCUGGCAGAGGGACGUUCCCAAGCCCCUGAAAUCAGACUUUAAAAUGUGCUGUGGAGGAAGGAAAGGUGGGGACCGGAGAAAGAACAUGGAACCAGGCCUGGAGCUUUUUCUGCUGGUGGCCAUCCUGGGAGCUGCCCCAAAGCAGCAAGCCUAGCCCUUCGCAAAGGCUCAUCCUGCAGCAAUGCACCUGCCAUGCCCCAGACUCUGCCAUGGCUCUCACCCACAACCAGCCCUCCUUUUGUGGUAAGCAUCCAAGAGCUGCAUAAGACCGAUAUGUUCCUGAGCCCUGGACCGUGCUUGAGGUGUGCCAACAAGCAUAGCUGGAAUGAAUUCCUAUUCACAACAUUAGGAAGAAAGACAUGCCACAUUCUUUAUUUUCUUUAAGCCAAAGUUCAUCUGCAAAUAACCGCCACUAUCCAAGAGACAGCAAAUUCAACUGCAUUCAUUAUUACUCCCCCGACCCCAUGGUAUCUUUAAGGGCCUGGACUCACACGUAGUGGACACCCCACAGAGAUGGGGCCACGAGGGCGGGACCUCAGCCCAAGUCUUCUACUCUACAUGCUGGUCCCCUGAGCUCAAGCUGUCACUCAGCUCCAGGGAAAGGGCUCAGGGCGCCCCUAGCUGCAGUCCAUUCUAGUACAGAGUGACCCACAGGACCCUCUCAGCUGCUCUCCAGGCCAUGGGAAAUAGUGCCUAACUGCCCAACCACCCACAGCAGCUUCUCAUCAGGCAUGCUGCAGCCUAGCCCCAUUCCUGUCCUCAGCAAGAGAGGACGCCCACUGCCAUGGUGUCUGCCAAUUCUUACUUUUGCAAAAGACAAGUCACUAAAACCUCCGUUUUCUAGACACAGAGGCUUAGACCUGCAAAAUGAAAGCUUGGCUGCCAUCCAUAUUGGGAGUGGAAGUAGGGAAACACCAACCAAGAGGUAAAGUCUUCUUCAGCAUACGACUGUAUCCAAACACCUCAUAUAGGGGCAUCUCACCUGCCACAUGCAGACACUUUUGCUCUCUGCCCCCAAAUGAAUCUGAAACACACUGGGAACAAGAGUGGCUCCAACAGCUGAUAUGCUUAGGGAGAAUUUUAAUCUUUUAUUCAUUCAACCAGAAAACAUCUUCAUGAGUGCCUGUGACAUGCUAGGCAUUGUGCAGGUACUGCGGACACACCCGUGGACAAGACAGACACAGUUCCUGUCCACGUGAUGCUAUGAGGAAACUGAGGCUUAGGUAAUCAAAGGGACCAAAGAAAAGUCACACAUCAAGUAGGGAACAGAACGGAGCUGAAACAACACAACCUCUGACCCACCUCCUUCCACCGGUGUCCCAGGACAGCGGCCUCUCACCUCCAGGUGCACACCUUGCCCAUUCCUACUUUGGAGGCUGCAUCACCUGGAUCCUCUCAGUGAAGGGCUCUCUGCAGCAAGCUGUCAGGGAAGGAGCUUGAGUCCACAAGUGAAAACUGUGGGCACCUCCACCAGCAAUAACACCAGCUCAAGUUCAAGACCAGGACUGUUCCCAAAGGGCUGUCUUUUACUUUAUUUUUAUAACCUCAGAUGAAUUCUCUAGGUCUUUGGGGGCUUUUAUUUGGUCAGGGAAGAAAAUCAAGCAAGAUUGAUUUUUCCCUUAACCUCAGUACCAGAAAACUGUAACGAGCUUGGCCCUUGGGUCAGACAGACUUGGGUUCCAAUUCCUGCUCUUUCCGUUGCACCCUGGGGGACCCAGGGCAACUGUUUAACCCCUGAGGUUGAGGUUGGGUCUGUCUGCAGUGAAAUGGAGAUGAAGCAUAUUGAAGACCCAGGUGAGACUCCCUGUGUGCUGUACCCCUAUCCACAGAAGCCAGCACACACGAUACUCACCUGGGGGACAGAGGAGGGCUGAGUUACAUCAAAUCCUUUCUGUGCACCGUGAGCCACAUGGUCUCCUUCCCACUCCCACACCUUCGCUCAAGCCUAGACCCAGGGGCAUUGUACAGCUGGGGUCUCUGCCCUUCCGCCCCUUCCCUCUCUCCGGUUCCCAUUGUGCUAUGAUGGCUCUGAAGUGUCAAGAAAGUCUAUUUUUUUCAAUCGAAAAAGGAGAAUUCUUACAUCUUAAGUCUGGGUGCUGCCUUGAAAGGUCACCCAGUACAUACCCUUGACUUUAGAUGGGGUCAUUUUUAACUAAGCCAGACAAAGAGGAGCUUUUUCCCCAUAUUUGCUUAAAAAGGACACUCCUUUCCCUUUUUGUGGUUGGGAAGAAGCUAAUUUUAACACAUCAGAAGAGAUAUUUAAAGGGCCGAGUAAUAUGCAGUCAAAUGUGCCAAUUAUACCUUUGAGCCAUUUGGGUGACCGCAUAAUGAGUGGGCCGUUUUUAUAGGCGGCCGUCUGGGUCAAGGCCUCAUAGGGGCUGUAAGGUCAACCUUUCUUGUUCUUGGUUUUGUAAAUCGAACAGGGAUAGCCUAGACAUGCAGAUAAAGACCUAAAGUCAUGAUGAGCAAAUUGGGACAGAUUAGUUCACUUGAUCUAUAAGUGAUCAUUCUGGAAAAAAUCAGAGCAUGAUAGCUUCCUAAUCAAAAGCCCUCACCUGCUCAGCCUCCUGAAUGGAGGACUGCCAGUCCCUGCAGCUGACAGCCUAGGCUUUGACAUAUUUUUUGUCUUAUCAUUUGAAUACCUCAAGAAAG
This 3182-nucleotide long non-coding RNA is filed under the name Homo sapiens (human). RNAcentral's name for it is "HSALNT0402128". Lineage: Eukaryota; Metazoa; Chordata; Mammalia; Primates; Hominidae. The record is from RNAcentral.